Molecule: unclassified non-coding RNA, 3315 nt
Filed under: Hevea brasiliensis (rubber tree)
Lineage: Eukaryota; Viridiplantae; Streptophyta; Magnoliopsida; Malpighiales; Euphorbiaceae
Source: RNAcentral
GUCAAGACUCACCGUGCCGCUGAGUCAGUGAGGGCUAUAUAUUGUUCGCAGAGAAAACGUAGCGCCCAAACAAGAAACAGAUAAUAAAUUGUAGAAUUUGCGAGAAGAAGACCAGUGGUAAUAUAAACCAAAAAUGGGUUGGGUUUGGAGAGACGACGAGCCUGCUGGUGAAAAUGAAAUUAGCGAAUAUUGGAAAAGCCCUGAUUCAUCCUCUGGGAAGGUUUGCUCCACGAGGAAGGUGGUGAAGUCGCAGUGCAAGACUGAGGAGGUGGAACCUGGAAAGUUCGUUAGGAAGUGCGAGAAAACUGAGGAGAUUCUCAGAGAGUGCCUUGGAGAGUGAGUUUUCUCUCUUUUUCUCUGGAUUAUUGGUGUUUCCUCGAAAAUUUCUUUUUAGCUCUGUCUGUUGAUUCCUGAAAUAGGGGAACAUGUGGGGUUGGGGUAGUUGAAAUAUGAAUUUGGAGUAUAUUAGUGAGCGGAAAGUACCGAUUUGUAACUUUUGUGGUUAUUUGAUCUUCAUUUUGGACGAUUAUGCAUUGCUUUGGGUUUCUUGGAUUCUCGGUUUAUUUCUGAUUCCGCACUUUUUUUUCUUCGUUGGGGGGGUGGGGGGUGGUGGUGUGUUCAAUUUUUUGUGGUUAUGGGCAAAUGGAGGAGAAUUACUUGUGUUUAGUUUUAUUUAAUUGUGCAUUUAAUUCUUCUCUCGGUGUUUAUGUUUGUAUGUGAGAAUGUGGUAUUCUAGGGAGGGGAUUGGCUAUAAUUCUGUUAAAUCUGUGAUAUUGAGAACCUCUGGAAGUUUUGGGGGAAAAGUUCCUUUUUGAUAGAUAAACACGUAAUAACAACUACCUGAAACCUCGAGCAGAAAGAAUUCUGUGAUAGAUAAAUUUCAACUUUUCAGGUAUGCUUGUUGUAAUAAUAUGAGGCAUCCAUCUGAUUCCUAAGGGAAACUAUGUAUUAUUUGGAUGUCUGCUUGUUCUGAUUUUCUAUGAUGACAUGAGGAGCAUUUAGUGUGUGUUUUCCCCCUUCAUGUGGAUAUCUGCUUCUACCAUUGAGCAGUGUCCAUUAUUUUUGGCAGUUAUAAGGUUUUUAAUUAUCUAGUCUUUGAUCUUCGUUUGUCCUUUUUUUCUUCUCUCUUGCUCUUUUUAGUGCAUAUUUGUAUGCCUCUCAUGUACUUGGAUUUUAUUAUCUUUAAUAUCUUCAUUUAGCUCAGAUACAAUGUGCAAUACUCGUUUCAUAUGAUUAUGAGGUCAAACUAAAGAUCUUUUGGCAGGCAAAAAGUUAUGUUUGUGUCUGUCUCUCAGUUUAUUCUAGAGAACUAGAGAAGUAGAAGAUCAAAGAAAUAAUUGCUGAAGUUGAUAGCUUUCAUUUUUUUGGCUGAUCAAUGCAUGGAUGAUUGGGAAGUGCUUUAUUUGGCUGGUUGAAAGUCUGAGGAUUCAUCUUACAUAAUUGCUUUGAGUUCAAGGAUGUUCAGCAUUUUGAGUGGUGAACUGGAAAUUUAAAAUUCAGGAUGCAUUUAUGAGAUCGACAUACGACUAUGAUUGAGAAAUAUUCAGAUUUUGAAGGUAAUACAGACAAAACGAUUGUGGGCUAGGUGUGAACAAGUAUAUGGUUUACUGAUUAAAUAUGGAACUAAUCACUAUGAUUGACUAAAAUGACACUAGGCUUCAAAUGGUUGGGGUUUUUCUCUAUUGAAUUAACUUAAAGCUUACAGUUUGUCAAAUUUGGAGUACACUUGAAAUUUGAACAGACUAACUAGAGUGAGCUUCUUUUGAAUAUUUUUUUUAAGUGGUAAAUUACAGCUCUUCCCAAAUGAGGUAAAACUAUUAUGUUUAAGGAUUUGAUGCUUGACCUUUGUUUCAUGUCUUUGAUUAUAGCUUGAUGUUUAUUGUUGCAACAUGAAUUUCUGUAUCUUCAUAUCAUCAUUUUCAGUUGGCCUUCUUCCUCCAGUGAAGUUUUGCUUGUUAGUUUAUUGACCCACUCCCAAAGCAUUUCCAGGCUGUGUAAUACAUUAAUUUGGCGAGGGGAUUCUGAAAUCAUCAUUGCUGAUUAUAAUACUAUUGCCUGCAUUAUUGGGGUAAUGGUGAAAUGUGUGGGCUUGUCAUAAAGAGUUCUUGUGGGAGUGGGUUCAUGACCCUAUUCAGUGUUACUCAUGCCUCAUUGUCGAACUCUCAUACAUUUGCAUAUGCAUAGCAAUUGAGAGGAGUUUUACUAGCAAGUAUAUCUUUAUUCAAGCCCUUAAUCAACAGCUUAAUUUUGUGUUUUUAACAAAUUUUGAGUUUUCUCUAAAUACUGAGUGUGCAAGAGUUCUCUCCCUUUGCUACUUAGUUUCAUUGUUUAUUUAUUGUUUGCUUCAAUUAGGCCUGUCAAGGUCCUGAAGUCCAACAAGGAGUAUACUGAAGACGAUGUCACAGACGUGGUGGUUAAAGGGUCUUCCUCAGUAGGCCAAUUUGAUAGCUCGCCAUUUGGCUUACCAGGUCUUCGAAGUGAUAUUGAAGGCAUUGAGCGCCAAUUCCUCGGUGGCAUCAAUCGAUUUUUUGAAGCAGCUGAACAGAUUAAGGGUAGCUUUUUCGAUGUUUUUGGGGACUUGCAUAAGGAGAAUCCAUCAUGCCCUCCAUCUAUGAGGCGAGGGAUACCUAUUGAUGACUAUCCCCAAAAAAGAGAGGCUUCUCCUAAACAAAGGGAGCCUGAUGCUGGUGAUGUUGAUCUUGCUGGUUUGGCCAGAGAUGUCUGAAUUAUUCUGUUAAUAAUCUAGUCGAGUAGACAAUUUCCCCUUUUAUAUGACUAGCGAAAUAUAGACUACCAAACUGCAGUUUUUGCACUGGAAUGUAAAGCCGGUUCUUGGAUGAGACUACGAAGUUGAUUCUCAUUGCUAAGUUGAAAUCAAGGAUUUGUAUUGAUAAUUCUAUUUAAUGGUGUUUUUAUUGUGUGUCAAGAGUCUUAAGAAACAUCCUGUAAUUAGGUAUAUCUCUAUCAUUUGCAUGUUUUCUGAAGUAUGGAUAUAUUUAUUUUCAAAGCACAUGGAAGAGAAUACAUGUAAUUCAGCUGAUCCAAAUAAUUUGAAGCACUCAGCUCAAAAUGAUUAAUCCAAGCUAUUUAAUAGUACAUACCAGUGCGCUGGGUGGGAUAUUACACAAAUGAGUAACAGAAAUGUGAAAUGGCAAGAAGAGAAGUAUAGUCCUAUGAUUUCUACAGAAUUCAUUCUUCACCAACCGCAGACUUUAUAUUGGAAACAAAAGCCAACUAUGCCGCUUCAACCUGGCCGCAACUGUGUUUCUCAGUACUCAUGGUCUGCCGCAUUUGGAUGUUGAAUAUAUUCUAUUU